AACAACAAGGUUCUGCCACUUGGCAUCACCUCAUUAAACCAACACACUUGUCAAAAUUCUAGCCCCUCCACGUUAGUAUAAUCUUAUGUGUAAUUUUGUGAGAUUUUUUACUUUUUUAUGUUUAACUAAAGCACAGUCCCCAACUCUCUCUGUAACAUCUCUUUCACCCUGUACACACAAAACGUCAAAAACCCAGCUCAUACCCAUCUUUCCCUUUCUUCUUCAAAAUUCAAAUUCAUUGUUUCCCAAGCCAGAUCUACAAAACAAAUUCGAAAACCCAUUGAGAGAGAGAGAGAGAGAGAGACAAGAGUUGAAGGUGAUUCAGGCGAAUCACCACCAUCCGACGACAGUAACAGAGCUGCAAAGACAACCGCUCGAACUCUAAUUUAAGGGUUUACUUGAAAUCUGCUAUCCUAGAUCUACUAGACGUUAUUGGAAUCAGAUAUCAAAGAGCUGGGAUAAAAUGACAAUUGUGGAGGACCCGAUUCCAGAGCUUUCGUCUGAUUUGUCAACUAUUUCUCCGCCGAAUUCAUAUGGAUCUGUUGUUCUAGGUGGCACGUUUGAUCGCUUACAUGAUGGUCAUCGACUUUUCCUCAAGGCAGCUGCAGAGUUGGCUAGGGAUCGAAUUGUUGUUGGUGUUUGUGAUGGACCUAUGAUUUCCAAGAAACAGGUGGUUAUGUUGGAUCCUUGGAGUGUAUUGUGGGUGGUGUUCAUAUAAGAACAGGGGUUAGAGAAUAAAGAGUAUACAGAAAGAGAUGAAGGGAAGGGAAGGGGAGGCAGAAAGAGGUAUCGAAUGGCAGGGGCCAGAUCAAGGUCAUGAUCAAGAACAAGGGACCUUCAUAAGCUUCUCCUAAGGCCAGGGCAUCUGGUCGGACCCGCUUUCGAACCAGGUACCCAAGUAACUCCUAUAACAUAUUAUGUUCCAAUAUUAUUAUUAUUUUAGUUGCUGCUAACUUGGUCUGAUUUUGUGAAGCAGAGGUACGAUCUUCAAGAUUAAGUGUGUAUAUUGGUUGUGGGUGCUGGUGGGUUGGGUUGUGAACUUCUCAAAGAGUCGCCCUCUCCGGUUUCAGCAAUGUAGUUUCAUUAUCUGUGUUUUUUAGCGUCUUUUGGAAAUUGGAACCUUUGCUACUGAGUUGUGUAGGUUGUAGAGGCUUUAAGAGUAAUGGUAAUGGGUGACCCCUUUGGAGAUACUAUAUCUAAGGUACACUGUUGGAAAUCAGAGAUUUAAACAAUUAAAAGAACAAGAAGCAAGGAGGAAACAACAAAAAGAGGCAGAAAAAGCUAAAGAGGCUUCAUUGACAAAUGAAGUUGACCAUGAACUUAAAGCCGAUUCUAUGAGUUCUGCUAAUGGAAGUCCUUCAUCUUCAGAUUCCAGUCAAGUUGAUAGAACUUCGAUUUCUAAAGGGAAAAUGGCGAAGAUUCGGUUUUGUAUAAUAGCAGAAGAGAUCGACAGCAUCUUGAUGAAAAUCUUGAAAAGGAAAAAGCCGCCACGUGUACCACAGAAAACAAAAGCGCAACCAAAGAUGAACAAGAAGAAUGAUCAUGAACAACCAAGCAAGAAAAAAAUAAUGUGGGAGUACAAAAGAACUUGGUUUAGGUUCAUGAACACAUGGUCAUGCACACGCACCGUCAGGUUCGUUUUGAUUAUACACAAGAUAAGGUGUAGAUACGUUUAGAGGGGUUCGGAUACAAUGAUGUGGAAUAUUUGUUUCUAUAAUCAAGUUUCCAUGAUAUAUAGGCAGUGAGAACUUAGAAUUCGGGUUUAAAAUUUGUCCCGAUAUUUGUUUAGACUUUAUUUAUACCAUUUUUCGUGUUCCUCUUAUAUCCUUAACUACUUUAAUGACAAAAAGUUAUAUUUUUGAA
This is a long non-coding RNA of Helianthus annuus (common sunflower), 1863 nucleotides long. RefSeq lists it as uncharacterized. The transcript has 6 exons. The record is from RefSeq and is a predicted model, not a curated record. Lineage: Eukaryota; Viridiplantae; Streptophyta; Magnoliopsida; Asterales; Asteraceae.